Non-coding RNA from Misgurnus anguillicaudatus (oriental weatherfish), 680 nucleotides. The record is from RefSeq and is a predicted model, not a curated record. NCBI's taxonomy places the organism in Eukaryota, Metazoa, Chordata, Actinopteri, Cypriniformes, Cobitidae.
UUCAAGAGCCAAGCGAUCCUUAUAGGACUACAUGCAAAGCAAUGUACUCCAGACCGCACAACUGGACAUACAGAUUGUGCCCUGAUGCCAUCUGCCCCGUUCUCCCAGCCUCAUCUUCCCUCUCUAUGCCUAGCUUCACAUCGGUUGGCUCUUCUUUGGCUCUCUUCAUCCCGUCUGCCUGCCUCGCUGCUCUCCCUGAUAACAUUUCCUGACUGAUGCCUUGCACUCUGACUCUUUCUGCAAGGUGCCAUUCUGAGCAGUGACUCAAUUUAGUGCCACCCUGCUGCUUGGCAUUGCACUUCUGAGGUCAUCACCAUCUUUCUUCAGCCAACCAAAAUGAUUCUCACCAACCACCCCAGCUCUGCUAACCUUGAUGUUGGAGAUCUGCUGUUUUUGAAGCAGGGGACCACUGUCCAUUAAAGGCUUCAUGAACCAUUUAACAAAAUCACAUAAGAUAGGGUAGUUCAUACUCCAUGCGAUGUGCCAUACAAUGGAAGGGCCAUGUUCCUUAUCACAUCUGGAUACUGCAAAGCUCCUGUCUCCUCAACAAUUUACGAACUAAUCAAUUAUUAAAUGAAGAAAUGCUAUGUAAAAGCAAAGAUAUUUCUUCCUGUGGAAUUUGAGUCUUAAAUUUAGUAAUUACUGUUUUAUGGCAUAAAUAAAAGUUAAAUAUUAUAUUA